Molecule: long non-coding RNA, 920 nt
Filed under: Mytilus galloprovincialis (Mediterranean mussel)
Lineage: Eukaryota; Metazoa; Mollusca; Bivalvia; Mytilida; Mytilidae
Source: RNAcentral
UAUUGCAAAAUCUCUCCUUGGUGUGGAGUGAAAUUUUGCCUCGUAGAUACUGGCACUUGUCAGACAAUCAGGUGGCUAUCAAUUCGACUCGUAAACGAGUUAAGGCAAUUGUUCAAUAUAUUCAAGAAGAAUUAAAUCAUGGCCUUGUAAUUUGCCAUACAAAUAUAAAAGCUCAAGAUAGAGGUUUAUUUCAGGCUUGACGGAGUGCACUUGUCAGUUGAAGGUAAUGAUGUUUUUUUAAAUAAUGUUCAGGGAGCUUAAGAGUUGUUUACAAGUACGGACCGUCGAGUAUUUCCUAAUUGAUGAGACUAUAAAUUAUAUUUCAGUACGGUGUAGUAAACUCGUUUCGUUGGGGAUGAGAGUGUAUAGACCUUCUCAUUUUGGCGGGAUCUGGCAAGAUGACAGGGGGUCAUGACCCUAUAAUUCUACGUUAGACCAUAUGCUAAAAUAUUCUACUGUGGUACCACAGGGAAGUUGUGUUUUUUAUAAACGGCUUUCUCUUGUUUACCAGAGCGGCCGGUUCAUCACUGUUACCAGUUUUGAAUUUUAUCCUCCGAGUACCGAGGAAGCGUUAUUCAAGUUAUGGCCUAGCGUCAGUGUGGGGUCGUGCUCCUCGUUCACUCUAAUUUUGCUUAGAGGAACUUUUGUUACUUCUGUUACCAGAAGAACACCUACUUGCCAAUAUUAAAAAUGCCGGCGGUUUGUAUCGUCUUGCCAGGCCUCGUUUACUGUUUUUUCCCCUGCGGCCGAUUUGAUUCCACAUAAGAUUUCUUGAAUUAUUUAGUAUUAGGAGUUGCGUAAUGAUUGCCUAUGAGACAACUCAGCUGUAAAACAACGUUGGUAUUAGCAUCUAAAGGUAACCGUACAACCUUCAAUAAUGAGCAAAACCGUUACCAUAUGCGGCCUGUUUUAUUCCACAC